UUUGCCAUAUGCGUUUUUAUCCUAGAAAAAAAAAGUUACGGUCGCGUUGUCAUCGGUCUUUGCGGUCUGAUAAAUCGAUUUUAAAAGUUCGAAAAGCUAAACAGUUGACAACUAGGCAGUGGAAAAUUUACGUCGCUGACGGGAGCAGAUAGAAUAGGAACGCGGGGCUGACGAGUUCUAUUUUGAUGAUGACCGGCCAACGGCGACAAGAGGCAGUAGCGGCCAUGACAGGCAACACCUAUCUUAUUUUGACCAUAUCGUUCGGACACUGACGAGCAGAAAUGUUUCGUAACGUACCGGCACCAUACUGUGCAUACAACGAAUGCUGUGCGUCGUCCAUUGUCUCAAACAGCAGUUUACAUGAGCGAGAUACCGUCAGUCCUGCCGCUACCGAAGGCCAACACGAAAUACCAUCCCACGAACUCGGACAGCGUAGGAGGACAUCACCUUUAACACAAUCAAAGGUAACAAGAAAGAAAAGCUGUUGGAGCGGUACGUGUAGCGCGUACAGAUUAUCAUGCCCAACUGGAGAAAAACCAA
This 540-nucleotide long non-coding RNA is filed under the name Varroa destructor (honeybee mite). RNAcentral's name for it is "uncharacterized LOC111242812, transcript variant X2". The record is from RNAcentral. Lineage: Eukaryota; Metazoa; Arthropoda; Arachnida; Mesostigmata; Varroidae.